Molecule: non-coding RNA, 232 nt
Filed under: Selenihalanaerobacter shriftii
Lineage: Bacteria; Bacillati; Bacillota; Clostridia; Halanaerobiales; Halobacteroidaceae
Description: T-box sequence
Rfam family: T-box leader
About the family: Uncharged tRNA acts as the effector for transcription antitermination of genes in the T-box leader family. T-boxes are found upstream of many aminoacyl-tRNA synthetase genes and some amino acid biosynthetic genes usually in Gram-positive bacteria.
Source: RNAcentral
AUAAAAGCUAAGAAGGGAAGAGUAAGCGGGAAAGUUAUCAACAGAGAGCCGUGUAGCUGAAAUGCGGUAUAACUAACCUACUGAAGAUGGUCUUGGAGCUAUAUAGCUGAAAUUAAGUAGACUAUAUCGGUUAACAGAGUCGUUAUUUCUGUAAAAGAGAUUACUAACUAAUGUAGUGAUAAAGUUAGGGUGGUACCGCGGAAGGUUAAGAAUAAUACCUCUCGUCCCUUAG